This is a long non-coding RNA of Hyalella azteca, 2186 nucleotides long. RefSeq lists it as uncharacterized. The record is from RefSeq and is a predicted model, not a curated record. Lineage: Eukaryota; Metazoa; Arthropoda; Malacostraca; Amphipoda; Hyalellidae. The transcript is spliced from 2 exons.
AGCUGACGACGGUGUUGGUGGUGAGCACCAGCGACGACCCUGGCGUGCUGGGCGUCCUGAGGGCGGCGUUCGAGCAGGUCUGCUGCCUGCCUGGCUUCAAUGAGCUCUCGUCGAGCACGGAGGGCUUGCAGGACUCAGGAUAUUGACCCAGCAGUGUCCUGAGGCGCCGGUUCUCCACCACCACGUCUGAGGAGUAUCGUCAGGCUCUCGAUUCUGCGUGAAAUUUUCCCCUACUUUGCUGAUGCUGGUGUAGCUUGUUACUACCCACGUAUUGGCCACGCCUUUGGAAACAAAGUAAAAAUGAUUAUCGUUACAACGCAUCGAGUUGUCUUCAGUGUUGCCAGCAGUCGACGUUCUCUGAGCUUCCAUUCGAGCGUUUUUUUCAAUUCAUGAUUAAAGUUGUUUUAGCAUAGCGACCUUUUCGGUCUUCGUUAUGAUUGCUUUUGAAACAUGAAACAUUGCAAACUACUGCGGACAUGGCAAUGGUACCGGCAAUAUGGAAUAAUUAUUUUAAUUAUUUAUGUUUAGAUUUGGUAACUAUGCAAGGCUGUGAGUUGGAACCGCCCAUAACGUGUGUUAGGCGCGGCUCUGUUGAAUGAGAGGCGUUAGACCACGAGCCUCGAGGCGCGUUGCACAGAGGAAGUUAACGUGUAAAUUGUAAUCACUUAUUUUGCGCAAAGGAGUUGGUGUCAAUGUUACGUAAUUUUAAGGCAUAUUUAAUGUUAUUUGUGGAUAUUAUGGUGUGGUAUUAAGGUUAUCUCAUUAACUGCAAGCUUAUGGUCUGCCGCCGAGUUUUAACUUAUUACAUUACCAGCAGCCUCGUCGUUGGUGGCUUAGCCUUACAUCUUUAUUAUCACUUUCUUGUGCCAACUAUUGGUCACAAUCUCAGUACAAAUGGCGGUAUAAACAUGUGCAUAAUUUUAGCCGCCUGAGCAAUAAUUUAUAAGCCAUUCACUGCCAAAUUGUUGUCACAAUUUCGAAACAAUCGCCUAAUGAAAAUAUGAAUUAUUUCACUGCCAGUAAUGUAACUUGUUAAGUAUUGCCUUUAUCGCGUCACUCCUCUAGGGCAGUUAAGGGUAAGCAUCACGCCUCACGGCAGUUAAGGGUAAGCAUCACGCCUCUAGGGCAGUUAAGGGUAAGCAUCACUCCUCUAGGGCAGUUAAGGGUAAGCAUCAGAGCAGUUAAGGGUAUGCAUCACGCCUCUAGGGCAGUUAAGGGUAAGCAUCACUCCUCUAGAGCAGUUAAGGGUAAGCAUCACUCCUCUAGAGCAGUUAAGGGUAAGCAUCACUCCUCUAGAGCAGUUAAGGGUAAGCAUCACUCCUCUAGGACAGUUAAGGGUAAGCAUCACUCCUCUAGGACAGUUAAGGGUAAGCAUCACUCCUCUAGGGCAGUUAAGGGUAAGCAUCACUCCUCUAGAGCAGUUAAGGGUAAGCAUCACGCCUCCAGGACAGUUAAGGGUAAGCAUCACGCCUCUGGAGAAGUUAAGGGUAAGCAUCACGCCUCUAGAGCAGUUAAGGGUAAGCAUCACGCCUCUAGAGCAGUUAAGGGUAAGCAUCACGCCUCCAGGACAGUUAAGGGUAAGCAUCACGCCUCUAGAGCAGUUAAGGGUAAGCAUCACGCCUCCAGGGCAGUUAAGGGUAAGCAUCACGCCUCCAGGACAGUUAAGAGUAAGCAUCACUCCUCUAGAGCAGUUAAGGGUAAGCAUAAUUUCUCUUUUCAUGCAGCCAAACAUCAGACCCUCUGCCCAAUGUUUGCCGUAGCUACUAAACGAGUCCUCCUAGUCGUUUGUUUAGCUUGAAUAAUUUUUUUUGCUAUCUCAUAUGAUAUUGUUAUCACUUAUCUAUUGGAUUAUCGGAACUAUCUAUAUAUUUUGUUACAAUUUUAUAUUUAUUUACAGCAAUAAUUUAUUAUAAGCUUAUAGACCUGAAUGCGAGUUCUUAGCUCUUCUUCUUAUACAUACUUCGAAAUGCUUCAGCUUAAACGUGUCUGCGUUGGUGAGUUGCAUAGCAGUAGGUGAAUUAAGUAUUCGUUAUUUGUGAACCUUUGUUUUCGUGUCUGAAUUGUGAUCUACGUUCCCACAAUUAUUCAGCUCAGAAUGCUAACUUUCAGAAAAUAUAUUCUACGUGUAACGGUGUAUGAGUAUAUAAGAGAUCACCAAUUCACCAUAAAUACAAAUAUUCAAUGAU